UGUGAACUCGAAGAGUAGGGCGGGACACGUGGUAUCCUGUCUGAAUAUGGGGGGACCAUCCUCCAAGGCUAAAUACUCCUGACUGACCGAUAGUGAACCAGUACCGUGAGGGAAAGGCGAAAAGAACCCCGGCGAGGGGAGUGAAAAAGAACCUGAAACCGUGUACGUACAAGCAGUGGGAGCACCUUCGGGUGUGACUGCGUACCUUUUGUAUAAUGGGUCAGCGACUUAUAUUCUGUAGCAAGGUUAACCGUAUAGGGGAGCCGCAGGGAAACCGAGUCUUAACUGGGCGUUAAGUUGCAGGGUAUAGACCCGAAACCCGGUGAUCUAGCCAUGGGCAGGUUGAAGGUUGGGUAACACUAACUGGAGGACCGAACCGACUAAUGUUGAAAAAUUAGCGGAUGACUUGUGGCUGGGGGUGAAAGGCCAAUCAAACCGGGAGAUAGCUGGUUCUCCCCGAAAGCUAUUUAGGUAGCGCCUCGUGAACUCAUCUUCGGGGGUAGAGCACUGUUUCGGCUAGGGGGUCAUCCCGACUUACCAACCCGAUGCAAACUACGAAUACCGAAGAAUGUUAUCACGGGAGACACACGGCGGGUGCUAACGUCCGUCGUGAAGAGGGAAACAACCCAGACCGCCAGCUAAGGUCCCAAAGUCAUGGUUAAGUGGGAAACGAUGUGGGAAGGCACAGACAGCCAGGAUGUUGGCUUAGAAGCAGCCAUCAUUUAAAGAAAGCGUAAUAGCUCACUGGUCGAGUCGGCCUGCGCGGAAGAUGUAACGGGGCUAAACCAUGCACCGAAGCUGCGGCAGCGACACUAUGUGUUGUUGGGUAGGGGAGCGUUCUGUAAGCCUGCGAAGGUGUGCUGUGAGGCAUGCUGGAGGUAUCAGAAGUGCGAAUGCUGACAUAAGUAACGAUAAAGCGGGUGAAAAGCCCGCUCGCCGGAAGACCAAGGGUUCCUGUCCAACGUUAAUCGGGGCAGGGUGAGUCGACCCCUAAGGCGAGGCCGAAAGGCGUAGUCGAUGGGAAACAGGUUAAUAUUCCUGUACUUGGUGUUACUGCGAAGGGGGGACGGAGAAGGCUAUGUUAGCCGGGCGACGGUUGUCCCGGUUUAAGCAUGUAGGCUGAUUGUCCAGGCAAAUCCGGAUAAUCAAGGCUGAGGUGUGAUGACGAGGCACUACGGUGCUGAAGUAACAAAUGCCCUGCUUCCAGGAAAAGCCUCUAAGCAUCAGGUAACAUUAAAUCGUACCCCAAACCGACACAGGUGGUCAGGUAGAGAAUACCAAGGCGCUUGAGAGAACUCGGGUGAAGGAACUAGGCAAAAUGGUGCCGUAACUUCGGGAGAAGGCACGCUGGUGUGUAGGUGAAGUCCCUGCGGAUGGAGCUGAGACCAGUCGAAGAUACCAGCUGGCUGCAACUGUUUAUUAAAAACACAGCACUGUGCAAACACGAAAGUGGACGUAUACGGUGUGACGCCUGCCCGGUGCCGGAAGGUUAAUUGAUGGGGUUAUCCGUAAGGAGAAGCUCUUGAUCGAAGCCCCGGUAAACGGCGGCCGUAACUAUAACGGUCCUAAGGUAGCGAAAUUCCUUGUCGGGUAAGUUCCGACCUGCACGAAUGGCGUAAUGAUGGCCAGGCUGUCUCCACCCGAGACUCAGUGAAAUUGAACUCGCUGUGAAGAUGCAGUGUACCCGCGGCAAGACGGAAAGACCCCGUGAACCUUUACUAUAGCUUGACACUGAACAUUGAGCCUUGAUGUGUAGGAUAGGUGGGAGGCUUUGAAGCGUGGACGCCAGUCUGCGUGGAGCCAACCUUGAAAUACCACCCUUUAAUGUUUGAUGUUCUAACGUUGGCCCCUGACCGGGGUUGCGGACAGUGUCUGGUGGGUAGUUUGACUGGGGCGGUCUCCUCCCAAAGCGUAACGGAGGAGCACGAAGGUUAGCUAAUCCUGGUCGGACAUCAGGAGGUUAGUGCAAUGGCAUAAGCUAGCUUGACUGCGAGCGUGACGGCGCGAGCAGGUGCGAAAGCAGGUCAUAGUGAUCCGGUGGUUCUGAAUGGAAGGGCCAUCGCUCAACGGAUAAAAGGUACUCCGGGGAUAACAGGCUGAUACCGCCCAAGAGUUCAUAUCGACGGCGGUGUUUGGCACCUCGAUGUCGGCUCAUCACAUCCUGGGGCUGAAGUAGGUCCCAAGGGUAUGGCUGUUCGCCAUUUAAAGUGGUACGCGAGCUGGGUUUAGAACGUCGUGAGACAGUUCGGUCCCUAUCUGCCGUGGGCGCUGGAGAAUUGAGGGGGGCUGCUCCUAGUACGAGAGGACCGGAGUGGACGCAUCACUGGUGUUCGGGUUGUCAUGCCAAUGGCACUGCCCGGUAGCUAAAUGCGGAAGAGAUAAGUGCUGAAAGCAUCUAAGCACGAAACUUGCCCCGAGAUGAGUUCUCCCUGAGACU
This 2437-nucleotide ribosomal RNA is filed under the name Klebsiella pneumoniae. RNAcentral describes it as "bacterial LSU rRNA". It matches the Rfam family "Bacterial large subunit ribosomal RNA", at positions 398 to 2822 of the family's 2925-position model. Lineage: Bacteria; Pseudomonadati; Pseudomonadota; Gammaproteobacteria; Enterobacterales; Enterobacteriaceae. The record is from RNAcentral.